Molecule: ribosomal RNA, 460 nt
Filed under: uncultured bacterium
Lineage: Bacteria
Description: partial 16S ribosomal RNA
Rfam family: Bacterial small subunit ribosomal RNA
Source: RNAcentral
CCUACGGGAGGCAGCAGUGAGGAAUAUUGGUCAAUGGACGAGAGUCUGAACCAGCCAAGUAGCGUGAAGGAUGACUGCCCUAUGGGUUGUAAACUUCUUUUAUAAAGGAAUAAAACGAGGCACGUGUGCCUUUUUGCAUGUACUUUAUGAAUAAGGAUCGGCUAACUCCGUGCCAGCAGCCGCGGUAAUACGGAGGAUCCGAGCGUUAUCCGGAUUGUUUGGGUUUAAAGGGAGCGUAGAUGGGUUGUUAAGUCAGUGGUGAAAGGUUGCGGCUCAAUCGUAAAAUUGCAAUUGAUACUGGCAGUCUUGAGUACAGUUGAGGUAGGCGGAAUUCGUGGUGUAGCGGUGAAAUGCUUAGAUAUCACGAAGAACCCCGAUUGCGAAGGCAGCUUACUAAACUGUGACUGACAUUGAUGCUCGAAAGUGUGGGUAUCAAACAGGAUUAGAUACCCUUGUAGUC